RNAcentral lists this ribosomal RNA (2431 nucleotides) under human metagenome. RNAcentral describes it as "bacterial LSU rRNA". It matches the Rfam family "Bacterial large subunit ribosomal RNA", at positions 510 to 2825 of the family's 2925-position model. The record is from RNAcentral.
AAUGGUGAAAAGUACCCCGGGAGGGGAGUGAAAUAGUACCUGAAACCGUGUGCUUACAAGCCGUUGGAGCCUUUUGGGGUGACAGCGUGCCUUUUGAAGAAUGAGCCUGCGAGUUAGUGUUAUGUCGCGAGGUUAACCCGUGUGGGGUAUCCGUAGCGAAAGCGAGUCUGAAUAGGGCGUUUGAGUGGCAUGACCUAGACCCGAAGCGGAGUGAUCUAUCCAUGGCCAGGUUGAAGCGACGGUAAGACGUCGUGGAGGACCGAACCCACUUCAGUUGAAAAUGGAGGGGAUGAGCUGUGGAUAGGGGUGAAAGGCCAAUCAAACUCUGUGAUAGCUGGUUCUCCCCGAAAUGCAUUUAGGUGCAGCGUUACGUGUUUCUUGCCGGAGGUAGAGCUACUGGAUGGCCGAUGGGCCUUCACGGGUUACUGACGUCAGCUAAACUCCGAAUGCCGGUAAGUGAGAGCGUAGCAGUGAGACAGUGGGGGAUAAGCUUCAUUGUCGAGAGGGAAACAGCCCAGACCACCAACUAAGGCCCCUAAGCGUGUGCUAAGUGGGAAAGGAUGUGGAGUUGCUUAGACAACCAGGAGGUUGGCUUAGAAGCAGCCAUCCUUGAAAGAGUGCGUAAUAGCUCACUGGUCAAGUGAUUCUGCGCCGAUAAUGUAGCGGGGCUCAAGUACACCGCCGAAGUUGUGGCAAUGACCCUUUGGGGUUGUUGGGUAGGGGAGCGUCGUGUAGCCAGUGAAGCUGCGGUGUAAACCAGUGGUGGAGGCUAUGCGAGUGAGAAUGCAGGCAUGAGUAGCGAAAGAUGAGUGAGAAACUCAUCCGCCGGAUGAUCAAGGGUUCCAGGGUCAAGUUAAUCUGCCCUGGGUUAGUCGGGGCCUAAGGCGAGGCCGACAGGCGUAGUCGAUGGAUAACGGGUUGAUAUUCCCGUACCGGUGAAAAACCGCCCAUACUGAUAUUGUGAUGCUAACCAUGCGAAGCAUGAUGUGCAGGCUUUUGUUUGUGUGUUGUGUGGGUUGUGGGACCCGAUCUUUGGAGGUAAACGUAUUAACAGGUGUGACGCAGGAAGGUAGCCAAGCCACGCGAUGGUUGUCGUGGUCUAAGCGUGUAGGGUUGUCGGUUGUUAAAUGCGCCGGCUGUGUGCCUGAGACGUGAUGGGACCCCGUUUUUGGGGGAUUUGGUGAUCCUAUGCUGCCGAGAAAAGCAUCGGCGUGAGGUUUUAGCCGCCCGUACCCUAAACCGACACAGGUGAUCAGGUAGAGAAUACUAAGGCGAUCGAGAGAAUCAUGGUUAAGGAACUCGGCAAAAUGCCCCCGUAACUUCGGGAGAAGGGGGACCUUGAGCGUGAUGGGCACUUGCUGCCUGGAGCGUGUAUGGGUCGCAGAGACCAGGGGGAAGCGACUGUUUAUCAAAAACACAGGUCCGUGCGAAGUCGUAAGACGAUGUAUACGGACUGACUCCUGCCCGGUGCUGGAAGGUUAAGAGGAUUGGUUAGCCCUUUUUGGGCGAAGCUGAGAAUUUAAGCCCCAGUAAACGGCGGUGGUAACUAUAACCAUCCUAAGGUAGCGAAAUUCCUUGUCGGGUAAGUUCCGACCUGCACGAAUGGAGUAACGACUUCCCUACUGUCUCAACCAUGAACUCGGCGAAAUUGCAGUACGAGUAAAGAUGCUCGUUUCGCGCAGCAGGACGGAAAGACCCCGUGACCUUUACUAUAGUUUGGUAUUGGUGUUUGGUUUGGCUUGUGUAGGAUAGGUGGGAGACUGUGAAGCAUGGACGCUAGUUUGUGUGGAGUCGUUGUUGAAAUACCACUCUGGUCAAUCUGGAUGUCUAACUUCGGGCCAUGAUCUGGUUCAGGGACAGUGCCUGAUGGGUAGUUUAACUGGGGCGGUUGCCUCCUAAAGUGUAACGGAGGCGCCCAAAGGUUCCCUCAGCCUGGUUGGCAAUCAGGUGUUGAGUGUAAGUGCACAAGGGAGCUUGACUGUGAGACUGGCAGGUCGAGCAGGGACGAAAGUCGGGACUAGUGAUCCGGCGGUACGUUGUGGAACGGCCGUCGCUCAACGGAUAAAAGGUACCUCGGGGAUAACAGGCUGAUCUUGCCCAAGAGUCCAUAUCGACGGCAUGGUUUGGCACCUCGAUGUCGGCUCGUCGCAUCCUGGGGCUGGAGUCGGUCCCAAGGGUUGGGCUGUUCGCCCAUUAAAGCGGUACGCGAGCUGGGUUCAGAACGUCGUGAGACAGUUCGGUCCCUAUCCGCUGCGCGCGUUGGAAAUUUGAGAAAGGCUGUCCUUAGUACGAGAGGACCGGGACGGACGAACCUCUGGUAUGUCAGUUGUACCGCCAGGUGCAUGGCUGAUUGGCUACGUUCGGGAGGGAUAACCGCUGAAAGCAUCUAAGCGGGAAGCCUGUUUCGAGAUGAGAUUUCCUGGCACUUUGG